UAAUAUCUCACUCCACCUUUGGUGAAGUGGACUUGGACUGUGCUGUCGUUCAUUCGUACGGCUCGUCUCGAAAUGCAUUGUUGCCUGCAGAGUCUUGCGCGGAGCGAGACUGGCGAAACGGUGUGAUAUUUAUAUCUGCGCUGAAGUAACCGGUUUUGAGCUGCUGCACCAGGAGCACUCUGGGCUUAAAAUGAAGAGGACGCGGUUUUGUUUCGCGACCCCAAUUUUUACUUUGC
RNAcentral lists this unclassified non-coding RNA (236 nucleotides) under uncultured Hyaloriaceae. RNAcentral's name for it is "sequence contains ITS2". Lineage: Eukaryota; Fungi; Basidiomycota; Agaricomycetes; Auriculariales; Hyaloriaceae. The record is from RNAcentral.